UUGGUUAAAGCCAAAAAGAGGCAGGUCCCUGUUAAGGACUAAAUUGGAAAAUCUGACCAUU
RNAcentral lists this transfer RNA (61 nucleotides) under Stygobromus allegheniensis. Its description in RNAcentral is "tRNA-Asn". Lineage: Eukaryota; Metazoa; Arthropoda; Malacostraca; Amphipoda; Crangonyctidae. The record is from RNAcentral.